AGAUGCCGAUUGGUGUUCUCCUUGUUAGUUAGAAGGGACGCAACAGGUUGGUCCUUUAGUAAUAAUACGGUUUUAAGUGAAUGUUGUGAAUAGAAUUAUUAUAUUUUAAAUCAAAGAUGGAUUAUAAACUAACUACUCUUUUAAUUUUUUGUCUUAUUCUUCCUCAUCUGAGUUAUCAACAGUCAAAAUCCCACAAAAAUAACAAUAACAGUAAAUUUAGCGGAGCGCCGUUCUAUAAGGAACCUAGUAAUUGGAAAACUAUAGUUAUUAUAGUUUGCAGCGUUCUGUUCUUUGGUGCUGUGGUUUAUGGUACUACAUGCUUGCAGAUUUGUAAAAUGCAUUUCUUCGAAAGAACCGAAAAAAAGUACACAAAAAUGGAUUCUUGCACUGACGUAUGACAAUGUAAUAAACUGAGAAUCUAUGAUAUGUUUUGUUGUGAUAAAUACUUUGGUUUUAAUAUUGUUUGAAAUUUUAUUCAAAAAAAAUUAUGUAGAUAUGUUAAUCCUUCAAAUUAUACAAUAAUUUCUAUAUUUACUCUUCGAUAUAAGAAGGAAACGUUUUUUACACAAACAGAUACGCUUCACGGGCUGAAAGCUGAUUGUAUUAUGGAUCUAUUAAUUAAUUCACGGAAUUUAACAUACAUAAUUAUGAGUUAGAGAUAAGAUGCCUCCAUAUUUUCGUUAUUUGGAGAAUUUAGUCAAUCAAAAUUUUCAAUUUUGAAUCAUUUUAAAUAUGAGUUUACAAAAAUGAUAAUAUUGUAACUAUUAAACAAUUUAUUUGGGUCCAGAAUCCAUGCUUGGUCUAGCUUAAAGUGUGUAGCUAUUACAUCUCUCAGUAGUCUGCUCGUAAUAUAAAUUCUGCGGAGAUAUAUGGAAAUAACUGGCAUGAGAUAAGCUAAGGUACACAUAGAUAGACCUUUUACCUCUUUUACCAAUCAACUGCUUCACUUAUACAAGCUCCUUUUAAUUUAACACAGUCAUCUAAGACGCCAUCUCCAUGCUAUAGGCAUCACCGACGAUAUGGAAUAGUGUUGUAGUAUGGAGGGGGAAGAAACAAGAGACUAUUUCAUCGGUGAGUGCCUAGUAUUCAUAUCCAAGAGGUUGGAACACUUGGCAAACAUCACAGUUUGACCAUCUAAAAAGAUAAUUAAACGAUCAAUGAUUCGUUAAAGAAUAUUAUUUGAUGUCCACACAUGAUAUUAAUUCUGAGAGAAUUGGUUUUUAAAAUUUUUAAACAAAUGGGAACCAGCUUUGAGACAAUAUAACCCCAUAAGUAGUAAAUGUAGCGCCAUGAAUAAGCAUAAUUUUUUUACGAAAUCAACAUGCGGGUGUAUUCGAUUAGGUUGACAAUUAUGAUGAAACUUCAUUGUACUUGCUUUCCCACAGGCAAACAAGAUCUACAAAUGAUCGGAUUAUUUCAUUUUCUCAAGUAACCGGCAACGGUGUGACAUAAGAGAUUGUUACUAAAAAUUGGAAAAUAUUUACAUGCUUGUUAUGUUCAAUCUAACCUGAAAGACCGUAUAAUCCGGUCAAAAAAAUGAGUUUUUCGCGAUUUUCAGCAAAAAGGUUUAUACCUUAGACAAAAAUUGUAGAUCAUAAAAUUAUCUAUUGAAAACGUAUCAAUACUUUUUUCCUACGAGCCACCCACUGUUUCUGAGAUAUAUUGAUUCAAAAUGUUGUAUAAGUUGUAAUCGUUAUAAUAUGCACACGUUUCCACGCCACCUAUGAGGUAGUGGUUUCCUCAGUAGGCUUUUCCACGUCUGUUGUGAUGUUUAACUUGGAACUACUGCAAAAUAAUGGAAAUUAGCAGAAAUUUAAAAGAUAAAAGCAAUUUAAAUUGAAAAAAGUUGUGAAAUUUAAUCGUUGUAGCUUUCAAAUUCUUCUUCUUCAUCUUCAUUCUGAGUGCAUGUAAAUUGCGUCAAUAGCGAUGUAUUUCAUGUCUGAAUCAAACCGAUCUUCCACAUUUAGCAUUGCAACUGAGGUUGGAGGAAGUCACAGCCAGUUAUUGCGUGUAAAAAUAGUACAUGAUUUUAACACUUUGCAAAAGUAGAUAAACUUUGAUGAAUAGAUUUCCGAUUGAUGUUGAGCUUUUCCUGGUCUUAAGAAGAAAAUAGUUUUUCAGUUGGAGCUGGAGCAGUGAGUAAUACGAGUAAGUCUACAUUUUCACCAACAAGAAUAGUUGUAUUUGUAUUUUAAGUGUAAGUUACAAUGACCGAUAGAAAAAUAUUUCAACAUAUAUUACAAGAGAUGUAUAUAUGUGGCGUACUCGUGGAUAUUAUGACGAUUACAACAUUUACAACUUUUUGAGUAGUUAUAUCUCAGAAACGGUGGCUCAUAGGAAAAAAGUAUUAAUGCAUUUUUUGUGAAUAAUUUUAUGAUCUACAAUUUUUGUCUGAUUUAUUUUUAUGAUAAAACUUACCGUUUUGCUGAAAAUCGCAAAAAACCCAUUUUCUUGACUUUUGACCUUGAAUAAAUUCUUUUCCAUAUUCCAAAUUUCAUUUUUAAUUAUAUUUUAAACAAUUUCACUGAUUUAUAGCUGGGAAUUUAUGUAGCUUUAUUAUUUUCUUGGUUUAAUUUGACAAUAAUGUAUCUAUUAUAUACUUGUGACAUCCUUGUUACGGAAAAUGUUGAAUUGGCUACAUUUGCAGACGACACUGCAAUACUAGCUGUUGGAGAAUCAAUUGGAGUGGUGGUCAAGAAUCUUCACAUUUCAUUGAAAAAAAAGUUAUCUAACAAAUGGAGUAUUAAAAUCAAUUUAGGAUAAUCUGCUCAUAUCAUAUUUAACUAUAAAUAUAAACAAUGUCCCAGUUACAUUUAACAAUAAGAUUAUCUUAUAUAGAGAACUGUCAAAUAUUUAGGACUACAUCUGGAAGGUAAACUCAAGUGGCAGGAACAUUUAAGAAAUGAAGCAGCUUAACUAGGAAGAAACUCACAACUUACUAUUAAGGAGCUAUUAAGGAGGAGUAUGCAACUAUGGGGCCGUAGGUACUAGUGAAAGUAACUUGCUUGCGUUUAAAGAGUCUAAAACCGAAUAUCAAAGAAUAUAGUUGAUUCCCCCUGGUAAGUCAGCAAUCAAUAUCCAUACCGGGAACUCCGUAUAAAAACAGCCGAGAAUAACGACAUCAUAAUCACAUAAACAACGAAAUGUUGGAACUUUAUGAUAAUCAAGACAUAGUUCGCAGACGUUAUUUAAAAUUACGAAAAUAUGGAAAUGUCUUUAUAUCCAAUGGGACACAUUGUAUAUUUGAAUUUACAUUACUUGAAACAAAUUUAAUUUAUAUGUAAGAUAUCCGACAUGUUUUAAUGUUUACAGAACUACCAACAUUUAUUAGUGGUGUUACGUGCUUUUCAUUCUGAAUUAUAUAAAUCUAUUACGUUUUCAAUAUUUAUGAUUUUAAUAAGGCUAUUGUUACAAUGUAGCUCAACACAAAUCAGUAGAAAAACAAAAAAAGUGAAUAAUAAUCAUUUUAAUCUGUUGGAUUCAUCUCGAUAUAUAGUGGCCUGAGUACGUGAACAAAAUUUUGUUGAAUACUAUAUUUAAAUACUGAUCCAAGUUUAUAAAUGCCUGUUGAUAUAAAUUUUAUAGAUAGCUGUAUACACAAUGAGUUUUAUAUAAAGAAUGCUUCAAUUAUCUCUGAAACGGCUUGUAUAAUUUUUUUAAAAUUUGGUGCGCAUCAUUUUUGAUAUAUGGUCAGAUAUUGUUGUCAGAUUUUUGGUUUUUUUAUAUUGAGAUUUCUUUAAUGUAUUGCAUCAUAUAUUUUUAGAUUUGACACUUACAUUGCAUACGAAAUUUGUGGAAAAUUACAGAUCAGAAAGCUCUCGAAUCUAGAUAUGAGUCUUCUCAAUCUAAAUAACAACAUUCCUGGACUUAUAUCAAAUUAUACUUUAUUAUUUUGACACGAAGGAAAAUUGUUAUGAUAAUUAGUUCAUUUACAGACCACACACUACAUUAUAUUGCAAAAAUAUAGUGCCGUUCAACGCUUAUUUAUUUUCAUUAUUCUAUACAGAGUGAGUUUUAGGUUCGGAACGCAUCAAUUAUCUCGGAAACGGCUUGUACGAUUUUUAUAAAUUUUUGUUCGUCAGGCAUGAUACGGCCGGUAUUGUGAUGGUAUCUACAUUGUUGUCAGCUCUUUCCAUUUUGCGGAAAAAUAAUGCUUUUUAUUAUUUCAAAUGGAUCUCCCUAUAUAUUUUGUGUUUUUAGAAAUACUAAUUGUUUUUCAUUUAAUAUUCUCUAUAAUUAAAUGUCACAAUUUCCAUUUACAGUAUCUCCACCAAAGUUACAAUAAAUAUUGUACAUUUAGAUGGCUACGAUUGACCAAACUAUUGAAUAAUCUUUAAUAAUUUUUAUGCUAAUACAAAUCUCGAAACAAGGUCUUGUGUCAGUAAAUUAGUAAAAAUAUUAACGAAACUGGUGCGGUAAAAUAUUUAUCAUGGCGCAUAAAAUCUACAACAACUAAAGACAAAUCUUUAUAUGUUUGUGUCAUGCUACACUUAGAUCUACAUUUGUUAAGUAGUAAAAUUACAAAUUUUAGAAAACAUACAGUAAAGUCGAUUACAGCAGAUGCUCAAAAUGUUGUCUAUUUACUUCAAUACAAAAAGUUAUGCGAUUUUCAAAUCUUUUGCAAUACAUCUUGCAACAUCCCUGACUGCUCAAUUCUUCUUAUCUGUGUGAUAAUCCUAUCUUUUAAUUCCUGAAUAUUGGCAGGUUUUGUUUUAUAAACGAUGCUUCUUAAGUGACCUCACAAGAAAUAGUCUAAAGGAUUCAUGUCGGGUAAUCGCGAGGCCCAUUCGAUAAAACCACGCCUUCCAACCCAUCUUGUGGGAAACACAUUAUUUAGGUAUUGCCUCACCACACACGCAUAGGGAGGUGGGGCACCAUCUUGUAGCAAAAUAUUGUCGUUUGGGAUAUUGUUAUUGUCUGAAAAUUUCUUAUAAUGAAUUCUUUUUUGAUGUAAUUGAAAAUACUUGGGUUGAUGUAUUAUAGUAUCAGAAGCUAUUUAUGAAAUUUGGGGCUGUGUCAUUAGUGCUGUUAUGACAAAGAGAACAACAGCAAAUGAUGGAAGUAUUGAUGGUGCAGAAACUUCUGACAUGAAUUUAUACAUAAUGCUGAUUGAAUAUUUUCUGAAACAUUUGAAAAUUGAUCAGCUUUUUUUUACUCAGUCUCUGUAUGAUAACUAAUUGACUAAAUUAAAAUCUUAAACAUAUGAAUAUUAUCAUAAAAUAAGUCUUUGUUAUAUGUCUUUUCUGAUCCUUUCUGCUGAAUUAGUUUAGGUACAUCAUUUUUUGUCUGAGUGAAAGGAUCUGGAUUGAACCCUAUGGAACUAUGAUUUCAGUGUUGUAUAUUCAGAAUAAUUUAAAUAAGAUUUACUUAGAUGAAAGCUAUAGCAACUAGAUCGUUUGUAUAUCUUAUCUGGUAUAUUCAAAAAAAUAUGUUCUCUCCAAUAUAUCGCGCAAAAAUUAUUGUUACUGUUAUUAACAUUUCCUUUUAUUUAACAAAUAUCAUUAAAUAUUUACUUUUUUAUAUUGACAUUAUAUUUAUUCAUUAUUAAUUUUGUCAUUGAAGGUUUUGUUAGGUUUAUGUUUAUUUUAGAGAUAGGCAAAGCGUUAUCUUCUACAAUUAACGGAAAACUGCCAUAAUAGUGUCUUGAAAAAUUAUAUAUAAGAUACAUAUCUUUAGAUAUGACCUUUCAUAAAGAACGGCGGCAGUUGUGACCAUUUGUCCGUAUUUUAUUAACUAAAGGUAGAAAGGGAAAUGUCACCAAAUAAAUCUAGGAUAUUCUAUGCAGUUUUCUUAUAUAAAAAUAUGAUUUAUCCUGAAAAGUUGCAAUAAUUGAUUCGAUUCUGAAUUUGAUAGACUUAUUCAGUAACAUAUCCAACAGAAAAUCCAAUUCCAAUAUUUGGUUUUCUUCUUCUAUAGUAUUUUUUCAAGCUAAUAGAGUAACUUUCUAAUACUACGUAUCAAAUAAUUCACGUCUACAAUUCCAAAUGUGGCGCUACCUAAUUAUUUGUCUGAGCCCAAAUAAGAUGUAUGAUACGGUGGCAGUCGUAAGGCUUUAAUAGUCUAAGAACCAUUGACCAUUAUAUCCCAUCACUUUUUCACGUGUUGCAUUCCAGUUUCUUAACGGUUUGCAGGACGACUUGAACCACAGUUCGAAGCAAUCGACGACGAGUGUGAUAGUUGCCAAUUUGUAAGGUACCUUUCUCCAGAAAUCUAAUGUCGCUACCUACGAGGAUAUAUUGAAAAGACCUAUCAAAAAAUGUUUUUUUUGCUCUUCAAACCAGACCUCCACAGCUUUUAUUACGUCCUUGUUGAAAGAAAAUUUACGAUCUUUUAAACUUUCUUUAAGUUGAGAAAAGAGAUGAUAGUCGGACGGAGCCAAAUCUGGUGAAUAAGGGGGGUGUUCUAGUAAUUCAAACCCUAUAUCAUGAAUUUUUUGCAUGGCAAACAUGAAAUUUGUUGUCAGGGGCGUUGUGCUGCAAAAACAAAACACCUUUGAAUAGCUUUCCGCGUCUUUUUCCCGUAGAGUGGUCAGCAAGGUUGAAUAGAAAUCUCCAGUUAUUGUUCUACUCUUAUCCAAAAAAUCAAUCAUGAUUACUCCAUGGCAAUCCCAAAAAACUGAAGCAAGAACUUUUCCAGCAGAUUUUUAGACACGAUUGCAUCGAUUGUUGCUUUGUUUCUGGAUCGUAGAAAUGUACCCAAGUCUCAUCCAUUUGGUUUAAGAAGUCUACAUCAUUUUCAAAUCGAGUACAGAUCGAACGCUUUUGGUCAACAUUCAAAUAUUUGGGGAUCCAUUUUGCAGCAAUUUUUCUCAUGUACAAAUUGACGUGAACUAUAUGAUGAACGCGUUCGUAUGAAAUAUUCAGUGUUUCAGAUAUCCGUUUCAGACUAUUCGACGGUCUGAUAAAAUCAUAUCAUGAACUGCAUCGAUACUUUCAGGGACUGACACAGAAACUGGCUUUCCCGAUCGGUCAUCAUCUUCAAUGGAAAAUUUACUUCUUUUGAAGCUUGCAGUCCAAUUUUUCUCGGUCGCAUACGAAGGACAUUCAUCACCAUGGCUCGAUACUCCAAUUUUUCGAUUUUCACAAUUUCGGUGGACAUUUUUUUUAAUUUAUUACGAAACUCUGGUUUACUUUUUGGACGUCAAACUUUACACUCACACUUCUAAUAAGUUUUGGUAUGUUGCUAUGGUAACGCAAUAUUUUGUUUAUGAAUGGAACUGGUUUAGGCUAACUAGAUAUCAAUACAUCCUCAUAUGAGCUGCUGACUCUUGCAUGUUCGUGCUUGAAAACCUGUCUAUAAACGUUAAAAAAUAGUUGUUCGACUGCUUUUGAUGGUUGUAACCUAAUAUUUACUUAAGUCUCAUCUAAAUAGUAAAUUUUUCAAUUUUGUUACAUACAAUUCGUCUAUUUUAUGUUGCUCUGACUGCUUUCAAAUUAAUUUAUAUAUGAUUAUAUCUAUUUCGUUUAAAUUGAUUCUGUCUCAAAAUAUCGGUGCACCAAUCUAUUAAAGCAGUUGCUUUGGUCAGUAUUCUUGAUUAAUGAUAUUGUUUUUAUUGAUAUUUAUGUAAUUUUUAAUCCGACAACGACCUGAUCUCCAUUUUUAUGUGCAUGAUAUAAUAACUGUUCUGUUUUUGUACUUUUACUACUUGGAUAAAUGAUAUUUUUAUCCCUAUUACAAACAUACUAGUGUAGUCAUAAUUAUUUUUGAAAUUAUUUUAUCGAAAGCUAAUAUAUUGCAGAAGAGAAAGCUAAAAACUUAUAAUAAAGUUUUCGUUAUUGAACGUUUUAUUGCGGCUUUGAAUGAUAUUUUAAGCCAAAAGAUAUUCAAAUUAUUUAUAAAAUAUAUCAGCCCGUGACGAUUUCAUUGUUAAGUAUAGGUAGUUAUUUCUCUAGAAACAUUCUGAAAAUAUUCAAGAAAACGAAUAGUAUCUCCUGUAUUCAUUAUAAUGUGACUUUAACAGUUUUUCUUUGUACCUAUAGAUAGAUUAAAAAAUUGAAUCUUAAACUGCUCAAAUGAAUGAAUCAAAGACUUAAUUACAUUAAUUAGAAAUAGAUUUAAGAUGUUGUGUUCAAGUUUUUCAAUUUGAUCCAUUCAAAAACUAUUUUCAUAGACGGUAGAAUUUAUUAUACUUUUAAAGUUACUGAUUAAACACAAAUUUAUACGUAUUGUAAAAGUAUUUAUAUUGUUUGUUAAUAAAUUUUCAUUAUAUA
This is a long non-coding RNA of Diorhabda carinulata, 8210 nucleotides long. RefSeq lists it as uncharacterized. The transcript has 3 exons. The record is from RefSeq and is a predicted model, not a curated record. Lineage: Eukaryota; Metazoa; Arthropoda; Insecta; Coleoptera; Chrysomelidae.